AGACCCAGGAACAAAAAUUCGACUCCAAAUUUGCAAUUUGGCACUUGCUGGGCC
Molecule: transfer RNA, 54 nt
Filed under: Cophotis ceylanica
Lineage: Eukaryota; Metazoa; Chordata; Lepidosauria; Squamata; Agamidae
Description: tRNA-Cys
Source: RNAcentral